AUGGUAUCCGUUGCUGUUUAUAGAGAAGAGGAAAGAGAGGAAGAGGAGGAACAAGUGGAGGUUACAUCAUACGAAGUGAUUGAAGAACCAGAAGAAUAUGUCGUGGAAGAAAAGCUACAUAUUAUUUCUAAAAGGGUGGAAAUGGAACCUGCUGAAGGUACAUCCCCUCAAGUUAAUUCUAUUUUUCAAUGUAUUACUACCUCUCUUGGAUCUCAAUGGUGCCAAUGUUUUCUGUAUUAUAUAUAUAUGUGUGUGUGUUGUAAAUUUUAAUUCUUUACUAAGAUAGUUAGGUUUUGUUUUGUUUGCAAACAAAACAUGAGGAAAAUUUCACAAAUAUACAUUAUAAUGUUUUUAAGUGCCUGAGAUGCCUCGGAGAGUGGUCCAGAAACAAAAAGUACCUGCUGCUAUUCCUCCAAGAGAGGAGGCUCCUCCUGUAAAAGGUAUAAUCUCCUAUGAAAGAUGCCAAAGCAUCCAUGUCUUUUAACUAUUCUUUGGACACAUAUUUGAUUAAAAUUAUGUCAAUACAUAGAUGUCUGUUUGUUUCCCCAAGUGUUGUAUAAUGUUUAUCUAAUAUUUGUAGUGAGAUGGUUUUGCUUUUUUAAAAUGAAAGAAAAACCUCUAUUUUGAUUUCAUGUAAAUCAGUAUUCUUAAAACUAAUCUUUCCAAAGUUCCUGAAGCACCAAAGAAAACUGUUCCUGAGAAGAAAGUUCCUGUACCUGUUCCUAAAAAAGAAAAACCCCCACCUGCUAAAGGUAUUGUGGUCCAAUCUUGAAAAAUGCUUGUCAUUUUUGCUCUAUAAUAAGUUGUCUUUCUAAUUUCCUUGAAAUUAAAAAGAAAAUUAAGUGUCUGCUUCAUGUACCUUCAAAUUGACACAAUCACCUAAUAUCUUUAAAGUGCCUGAAGUGACAAAGAAACCAGUACCAGAAAAACACGCUCCUCCUGCUCCUAAGAUAGAAGCACCUCCUCCCACUAAAGGUAAAUGAAAUCAAACUGUCCUCCUAAAUCUGCACAUUGGAUCUUGUCCUUUAUUUUUCAUGUUUCUGUCAUUUGAGUCAAAUCUCUUAAGUGUGUGUAAGUUGUGUGUGUGUUUGUGUGUUCAUGUGUAUGUUAAUAGCAGUGAUGUAUAAUUGUCUUGUCUUCGGAUGGACUGUUAGCAAUUUCUUGUAUCAGUUUAGUGUGUGUAUUGUAAAUCAGCAUAAUUCUGGCUAAUUGAUAUAAAACUCUCCUCCAAGUUGUCUAGCUCCCUAAUCCUAAAAAUUAUCUUUUAAGUGACUGAGACGCGUAUGCAAAUUACCCAAGAAGAAAAAAUUCAAGUUGCUGUAACUAAAAAAGAGGAGCCUCCAAGAGCCAGAGGUACAUCAUCCAUCUCUAAAAUACACCAAAUACUUUUUCUUUCAUUAUUCUCUUACCAAUUAUUACUAAUGACCCCUUGAAAUGCUAGUACACCCGGUUCUAUUUUGGAGCAAUGAAAAUGUCAAGUCUUUUAUACUUCUGUAUUGUAUUGUGUGGAUGUUUUUUGUUGUUGUGAGUUAAGUGGAAAACUAUUCUUAAAAAUUGACUAUUAUCUUUAAAGUGCCUAAAGAGCCCCAGAGACCUGAGCCUGAAGAAAAAGUACCCAAACUCAAACCUAGAAAAGUGGAGGCCCCACCAGUCAAAGGUACAUUUGCUCCUUUAGAAAUCAAAAUAAGCUUCUAUAUAUCAAAAAUCAAGCAAAUUCAGAUGACUCCAGCCCAUUCGAAGAAAGAUUAUGCCACCAUAUAUGCACAUAUAGAUACACAUGAACUC
Long non-coding RNA from Sarcophilus harrisii (Tasmanian devil), 1785 nucleotides. Lineage: Eukaryota; Metazoa; Chordata; Mammalia; Dasyuromorphia; Dasyuridae. The record is from Ensembl.